RNAcentral lists this ribosomal RNA (38 nucleotides) under Zygoascus hellenicus. RNAcentral's name for it is "partial 28S ribosomal RNA". The record is from RNAcentral. Lineage: Eukaryota; Fungi; Ascomycota; Dipodascomycetes; Dipodascales; Trichomonascaceae.
UCCACCUCAAAUCAAGUAGGACUACCCGCUGAACUUAA